This is a long non-coding RNA of Rhinolophus ferrumequinum (greater horseshoe bat), 2021 nucleotides long. RefSeq lists it as uncharacterized. The transcript has 3 exons. The record is from RefSeq and is a predicted model, not a curated record. Lineage: Eukaryota; Metazoa; Chordata; Mammalia; Chiroptera; Rhinolophidae.
UCCACAGUCCACAGCAUGAGCCCCAUCUGAGGCUGCAUUACCCUGAGGGAGCAAAGAUUUUUCACCUAAAGGCUCUCUCUACUUGCCUAGCCACAUCCCGGCAGGACUACAUCUGCCCAGAGGCCAUGCGCCUUUUUCUAUUUUCUAAAAACGUAGGAGGGACCAUGUCCAUUCCCAACAGAUCCUGCUUCUAGGGUUGAGGAAUCCUCGUUUUAGAAAUCUUGCCAGGUAGGAAAAGAAUCUCAGAAGGUGAGUAGGUUCUGGGAACCCCAGCCCUGGAGAAUCUCUGAGCUUCUCUGGCCUCCUCUGGGAAAGGUCCUCAGAACUCCAACGACAUCGGUUGCCAGCUGAAAAUCAGCUCCCUUGCUAAGGGGAGUCCCAACUAGGUCCUGACCCAGGAGUCCUGCCUCUUCCUGCCUCAGCCAGUGGCUCCAGCUGAACUCAGGUGAGCAGGCAAUCUCCUGCCUAGUCGCCCAUCUGCUCUCUGAGGCUGGCAUAAAAGCGUCCUAGCGCCCAACUCUGCCCACGGGAGGAGCUCUCUGUUGCUAGGUGGAGCAGUUUGCCUGGGAGAUGAGAAGAGGGUGAAACCAGCCCCAACACUCUCCAAUGCAGAGCCGUGAAUUUAGAGACAAGCGAGAGGUAAAGGGUCGCUGCGGUCUUCCUGGGGUUAAAAAUGAAGCAACACCAGGGGAGCCUUUCCCCUGGGGGUCCUGAGUAGGACUGGAUUCCAGGAUUGUGGACUGCCCCUGGCCAUGCUGUCUCAUGGAUGGAGCAGGUUUGGGAUCUCUCUGAUGGGCUCUGCCUUUGUGUCUUUACACCCAGGUCCAGCCCUGCAAAUGAUGAGGCGACUGAGGCUCAGAAAACUAAGUGCUUGCCCCCAGGCCCCAGAGCUGACUGGUUCCAAAGCUGGGCUCCUCCCACUGGAGGACACUGCCUCUCCUGCCUUUUGAAGUCAGUUCAUCUGGAGGGUGGCCCAGCCCUCCCACAAAGCCCGGGGGCACCUCUGUGAGAAACUGGGAGGAAGGGCGUGGCUGGCCCACCCACAGAGCCCAGCCUGCUCCCCAGAUAUCUCCCAGGAAGAGCCCACAGGUUUCUUAAGGAAGAAGCCAGGAGACUGCUGUGUGGGCGGUGGUGUCCAGGCCCCUCCUCCUGCCCAAAAUUCUUUGCUUGCUGUUUGAAUUCCACCAAUGACAAGCAGGUUCUCUCUUUCUCUCCCUCUCUCUAUCCCCCUGUCAGAAGAAAAUAUGGGAGAAAAUAGCUUGGUUCCUGGAGAGGAAAAGGAGGUUUUGAUAGGAGAGAGAGUCCUCUGAAGGGUGGAAUAGAGGGAAGGGCAGGCCUGUGUAGAACCCCAGAAUGGGUGAACUUGAAUCAAAGAGCCUUGGCACAGGGUUCCUGGUGGGCAGUGUGGAAUGAGCAAGGAAGCAGGGGAGAGAGAGAGAGAGGAACACUGGUUGGCCAGAUUUUGGGGAGGCACUGAAGGCAAACUUUUCAACCCAUUCAAACUGUUUCAGGCUCUCAAGCCAGCCUGGUUCCCUCCUGCCCCAGGGCCUUUGCAUGCACAGCUCCCUGUACCUCCAAUCCUCUCUAGCUUCUGCUUUGUUCACCCCUUUCUCCCUCCUUCAGCUCCCAGCUUAAAGAUCACUUUCUCAGGGAGGUCUUUCUGCCUCCCAGGCUUUAUAUUGAAUGUUGUAUGUUCUCACAGCAUCUGCUCCUUUCCUCCAUGUGUUUAGCUCAGCUUCUAAUGAUUUACCUGUUAGGAUUACUAUUGGACUAAUGUCUUAUUGCCUCACUGGAUGUUAAGCUUCAUGAGAACUAGGGCCAUGUGUGGUUUUGCUCUUGAUUUUCGCCAUUGCAACUCACUGUAAUGCCUGGCACAUCGGUGCCACUUUGUAAAAAUUGGAGUUAAAUAAAUAAAGGUGAAGUGCGUCCAUCCACCCCGGACUUCCUGCCCCUUUCCACAGAGAACUUGAGUUUGUCCAGACCAGGUACCAGAACUGUGGUUUGUCCAUCCUCAAGUCCCC